Molecule: small nucleolar RNA, 132 nt
Organism: Grammomys surdaster
Lineage: Eukaryota; Metazoa; Chordata; Mammalia; Rodentia; Muridae
Product: small nucleolar RNA SNORA17
Exons: 1
Source: RefSeq, a predicted model, not a curated record
CCUGCCCCUAGAGGUGUGGCAGGUGGGGCUGCCGUCUCACAUGUGUGUCAGUAGGUGGCAGAGAGGAGAGAGGCUAUGUUUCCCCCGCAGCGUUCGGACUUAUGAAGUCUGAAUGAUUAGUAGCUUAGCAUU